CUACGGGUUGCAGCAGUGGGGAAUAUUGCACAAUGGGCGCAAGCCUGAUGCAGCCACGCCGCGUGUAUGAAGAAGGCCUUCGGGUUGUAAAGUACUUUCAGCGGGGAGGAAGGGAGUAAAGUUAAUACCUUUGCUCAUUGACGUUACCCGCAGAAGAAGCACCGGCUAACUCCGUGCCAGCAGCCGCGGUAAUACGGAGGGUGCAAGCGUUAAUCGGAAUUACUGGGCGUAAAGCGCACGCAGGCGGUUUGUUAAGUCAGAUGUGAAAUCCCCGGGCUCAACCUGGGAACUGCAUCUGAUACUGGCAAGCUUGAGUCUCGUAGAGGGGGGUAGAAUUCCAGGUGUAGCGGUGAAAUGCGUAGAGAUCUGGAGGAAUACCGGUGGCGAAGGCGGCCCCCUGGACGAAGACUGACGCUCAGGUGCGAAGCGUGGGGAGCAAACAGGAUUAGAUACCCUCGUAGUC
Molecule: ribosomal RNA, 463 nt
Filed under: uncultured bacterium
Lineage: Bacteria
Description: partial 16S ribosomal RNA
Rfam family: Bacterial small subunit ribosomal RNA
Source: RNAcentral